RNAcentral lists this ribosomal RNA (329 nucleotides) under uncultured eukaryote. Its description in RNAcentral is "partial 18S ribosomal RNA". It matches the Rfam family "Eukaryotic small subunit ribosomal RNA", at positions 1470 to 1796 of the family's 1831-position model. The record is from RNAcentral.
CCCUUAGAUGUUCUGGGCUGCACGCGCGCUACACUGAUGCGUUCAACGGGUUUUUGACCUUGCCUGACACGGUUGGGUAAUCUUGUUAAAACGCAUCGUGAUGGGGAUAGAUUAUUGCAAUUAUUGGUCUUCAACGAGGAAUGCCUAGUAAGCGCAAGUCAUCAGCUUGCGUUGAUUACGUCCCUGCCCUUUGUACACACCGCCCGUCGCUCCUACCGAUUGAAUGGUCCGGUGAAGCGUUCGGACCGUGGCCUUUGGACGGUUCGCCGUCUGUUGGCUGCGGGAAGUUCGUUAAACCUUAUCAUUUAGAGGAAGGAGAAGUCGUAACA